GACGAACGCUGGCGGCGUGCCUAAUACAUGCAAGUAGAACGCUGAAGGAGGAGCUUGCUUCUCUGGAUGAGUUGCGAACGGGUGAGUAACGCGUAGGUAACCUGCCUGGUAGCGGGGGAUAACUAUUGGAAACGAUAGCUAAUACCGCAUAACAGUAGAUAUUGCAUGAUAUCUGCUUGAAAGGUGCAAUUGCAUCACUACCAGAUGGACCUGCGUUGUAUUAGCUAGUUGGUGAGGUAACGGCUCACCAAGGCGACGAUACAUAGCCGACCUGAGAGGGUGAUCGGCCACACUGGGACUGAGACACGGCCCAGACUCCUACGGGAGGCAGCAGUAGGGAAUCUUCGGCAAUGGACGGAAGUCUGACCGAGCAACGCCGCGUGAGUGAAGAAGGUUUUCGGAUCGUAAAGCUCUGUUGUAAGAGAAGAGCGAGUGUGAGAGUGGAAAGUUCACACUGUGACGGUAUCUUACCAGAAAGGGACGGCUAACUACGUGCCAGCAGCCGCGGUAAUACGUAGGUCCCGAGCGUUGUCCGGAUUUAUUGGGCGUAAAGCGAGCGCAGGCGGUUAGAUAAGUCUGAAGUUAAAGGCUGUGGCUUAACCAUAGUACGCUUUGGAAACUGUUUAACUUGAGUGCAAGAGGGGAGAGUGGAAUUCCAUGUGUAGCGGUGAAAUGCGUAGAUAUAUGGAGGAACGCCGGUGGCGAAAGCGGCUCUCUGGCUUGUAACUGACGCUGAGGCUCGAAAGCGUGGGGAGCAAACAGG
This 763-nucleotide ribosomal RNA is filed under the name uncultured Streptococcus sp. RNAcentral's name for it is "bacterial SSU rRNA". It matches the Rfam family "Bacterial small subunit ribosomal RNA", at positions 28 to 776 of the family's 1533-position model. Lineage: Bacteria; Bacillati; Bacillota; Bacilli; Lactobacillales; Streptococcaceae. The record is from RNAcentral.